RNAcentral lists this ribosomal RNA (876 nucleotides) under Triticum aestivum (bread wheat). RNAcentral describes it as "partial small subunit ribosomal RNA". Lineage: Eukaryota; Viridiplantae; Streptophyta; Magnoliopsida; Poales; Poaceae. The record is from RNAcentral.
AUGCCGCCACGGUCUCGCCUUGACAAUGAGCAUUGCGCAGCUCUAGCUUCUUGUGAGGGUCCGAUGAAAUCCCAGCUCCCCUCCAAGGUGCUUCACCGCAGGUCCUGGGCAUCGGUCGUUUCCACUCACGUUGAGUCGGGAACCCCAUCCGAUGUACUGCUCCGGUCCACUAUAGCAGCACAGGCGGAGCUCUUGGUGCGCGUUGGGAGCUUUCUGGAGCGAGCAGAGGCUGCUCUGGGAAAGCUCUCUCUUGUCCCGGCUGUGUUGCAAUCCGCUCCUACGCCACGUCCUCCCAGUGAGGUUGAUGUUGGUGGCUCAGUGGAGAGCAGUGUUGCGGAGCUCUAUGGUUGUUUCUCCCCUAGAGCUGUGGACAACUCGUCACCUUCAUCUACCUUGCCCACUGUGUUGUCUAUCGCUGAGGGCGGGACCAUUGCCGUGGUUGUGCCUCCGGUGCUGCAGGUGAUGCCCGAGCUUCAAGUGGUAUGUGCGAGCUCUGAUUUGCCUCUAUCAAUGGAGCAAACGAUGGUGGACACGCAAGCAACCACGAGUGAGGGACAUGAUUCAACUAUGACAUGUGAGCAGAGUGAGGUGAGCUCGCUUGGGCGCUCACAUGUGAUUUUGGCACCCGUUCCACCGCCGCCGACGGAUACUUCGAAUGCUCUCUUUGCAAAAGAGCUUUGUGACUUGCUCGCUAGUGUGGAGGCUAUUAUUCCUGGAACUGGAAGGGCAAUUGCCUGCCUCCUGACAGGAUCGACAUACAAGGGCAAAUGCAAGAAGGCGAGCGAUUGCCCUCGGACCGGUUUAGUGCAGGAGAAGUCACUAAGGUGCAAAAGCAAGAAGAGUGGCGUCAUAGGUAAGGUGCCCGCGGCUGCUUAG